Long non-coding RNA from Nasonia vitripennis (jewel wasp), 370 nucleotides. RefSeq lists it as uncharacterized. The transcript is spliced from 2 exons. The record is from RefSeq and is a predicted model, not a curated record. NCBI's taxonomy places the organism in Eukaryota, Metazoa, Arthropoda, Insecta, Hymenoptera, Pteromalidae.
ACGGAUGCAAAUUGAGCAGCGCAUUAUGAAAAAUCACGAACCGUGACGAGAAAAACAGUAUAAAACGCUGCACAGUCGUCCGGCCCGUUCGAGAGUCAAGUUCUAUCCGACUAUUAUCUACGUUCGGUAAAUCUUGUGACGAGAAGAAAUAUGAGGCUACUCGCGCUCUUGUUGACGAUCUUAAUCAUCACAGCAGCCGCGCUGGCGAUAAAGCCGCUCGGAGAAGCCUGGAACGAUCUUCCGAAUGCCGCGCCAGCGAGUAAGGAACGGAGCAGCGUAAAAUAGUGAAUCGGCGCAACAGCAGUAAACCGAAGCCACAUUGUAAAAAUUUCGAAUUAAUCUAAAUAAAAAAUACAGCCAACCUAUAAAA